UUUGACCUCAAAUCAGGUAGGACUACCCGCUGAACUUAAGCAUAUCAAUAAGCGGAGGAAAAGAAACUAACAAGGAUUCCCCUAGUAACUGCGAGUGAAGCGGGAUAAGCUCAAAUUUGAAAUCUGGCAGUCUUUUUUUUCUUCUUUGGCUGUCCGAGUUGUAAUCUAGAGAAGUGCUACCUGCACUGGACCAUGUAUAAGUCUCCUGGAAUGGAGCCUCAUAGAGGGUGAGAAUCCCGUCUUUGACAUGGACUGCCAGUGUGUUGUGGUGUGCUCUCAAAGAGUCGAGUUGUUUGGGAAUGCAGCUCUAAAUGGGUGGUAAACUCCAUCUAAAGCUAAAUAUUGGCGAGAGACCGAUAGCGAACAAGUACCGUGAGGGAAAGAUGAAAAGGACUUUGGAAAGAGAGUUAAACAGUAUGUGAAAUUGUUGAAAGGGAAACGCUUGAAGUCAGUUAUGUUGGCUAGGGAUCAACCUAGCUAUUUUUGCUGGGUGAAUUUCCUAGUUUGACAGGCCAACAUCAGUCUUGACUGCUGGAAAAGAGCAGAGGGAAUGUGGCACCUUUGGGUGUGUUAUAGCCUUUUGUCAUAUGUGGCAGUUGGGACUGAGGGAUGCAGCGUGCCGCGAGGCUGGGUUUCGACCACGUUCACGCUUAGGAUGUUGGCUUUUAAUGGCUUCAAUCGACCCGUCUUGAAACACGGACCAAGGAGUCUAACAUGCCUGCGAGUGUUUGGGUGGAAAACCCUUGUGCACAAUGAAAGUGAAAGUUGAGAUCCCUGUCAUGGGGAGCAUCGACGCCCGGACUGGAGCUUUUAGCAAUGGAUCCGCGGUAGAGCAUGCAUGUUGGGACCCGAAAGAUGGUGAACUAUGCCUGAAUAGGGCAAAGCCAGAGGAAACUCUGGUGGAGGCUCGUAGCGAUUCUGACGUGCAAAUCGAUCGUCAAAUUUGGGUAUAGGGGCGAAAGACUAAUCGAACCAUCUAGUAGCUGGUUCCUGCCGAAGUUUCCCUCAGGAUAGCAGAAGCUCAUUAUCAGAUUUAUGUGGUAAAGCGAAUGAUUAGAGGCCUUGGGGUUGAAACAACCUUAACCUAUUCUCAAACUUUAAAUAUGUAAGAACGAGCUGUCACUUGAUUGGAC
Molecule: ribosomal RNA, 1133 nt
Filed under: Amanita sp. 'texasorora'
Lineage: Eukaryota; Fungi; Basidiomycota; Agaricomycetes; Agaricales; Amanitaceae
Description: partial 28S ribosomal RNA
Rfam family: Eukaryotic large subunit ribosomal RNA
Source: RNAcentral